RNAcentral lists this ribosomal RNA (378 nucleotides) under uncultured bacterium. RNAcentral's name for it is "bacterial SSU rRNA". It matches the Rfam family "Bacterial small subunit ribosomal RNA", at positions 28 to 407 of the family's 1533-position model. The record is from RNAcentral.
GACGAACGCUGGCGGCGUGCUUAACACAUGCAAGUCGAGCGGUAAGGCCCUUUCGGGGGUACACGAGCGGCGAACGGGUGAGUAACACGUGGGUGACCUGCCCUCAGCUCUGGGAUAAGCCUGGGAAACCGGGUCUAAUACCGGAUAUGACUCCAUGACGCAUGUUGUGGGGUGGAAAGCCUUGUGCGGCUGAGGAUGGGCCCGCGGCCUAUCAGCUUGUUGGUGGGGUGAUGGCCUACCAAGGCGACGACGGGUAGCCGGCCUGAGAGGGCGACCGGCCACACUGGGACUGAGACACGGCCCAGACUCCUACGGGAGGCAGCAGUGGGGAAUCUUGCGCAAUGGGCGAAAGCCUGACGCAGCAACGCCGCGUGGGGA